UUUGGACAAGAUAUCCACACAGUCCUGUGAGUGGAAAAGGUGGACGUCUCAAUCUCGAUGGAAACUGUACAUUGCCGUGCUGGAGGUUUGUAGAGCAUCAUGGGAAGCAGUAGAGGGUGCACAUGGCUACCCAGUUCAGCAGGCAUCAGCUAUUGAGGGCAGCUUCAGAAGCCAGGCUAACAAGGAGCAGAGUUCACGUCGUCUCCAGAGGGUGGUGCUGCGUAGUGCCAUGUGAUGGAAAUAGCGGGCACUGUGUGCACCACACAGGGCAAACCAGCACUGAGAGAUAGCAGUUCCGCCCAGAAAGAGUGUGACCUUCUGUCUGCCUAAUCUUGACCCAGAUGGCUGCACCCAGACACAGUGGCACAGUGGAGCAGGGAUCAGAAGACAACAUUUUCAACCAUCUGUAUGUUAAAGGUUACGAUGCCAGUAUCAUUUACCUAAACCUUAUCGGCUAUUUUGUCUGGCAAUCCAGCCCUUCUGCUAUUCAUAAUCUGUUUUCCACCAAGUAUUUCGUGAUGUGUGCAGGGUGAUGGGCGGGCUUUAAGAUCUAACCAAAGAGGUGAUUGUUUACUACAGGAAGCAAAGGGGGGAGCAAUUCCCCAUCCACAUCAACAUGGCUGCAGUGGAUAGGGUCAUGAACUUCGAAGUUCCUUAGUCUACACAUCACCAAGCACUAAGCAAGGACCCAUCACACUGCGACAGUUGUAAAGAAGGCCCAUCAGCACCUUUUCUCCCUCUUCCCAAAUGGACUGUUCUGGCUGAUCUAGGUAUCUUCCCAGGUUCUGGCCUUUCUAGGGAGUUUUUUCACCGUACUUCAGCACCUGCAUUGCUUGCUGUUUGGGGUUUUAGGCUGGGUUUCUGUACAACACUUUUUUGACAUCAGCUGAUGUAAGAAGGGUUUAUAAAUACAUUUGAUUGAUUGAUUGAUUGAUACCCUAUGGCAAGCUAAACCUGAGCAUCAGGCAUUAACAACAUGCUCCAAGAUAGCUUCUACCUCCAAGCAAUUACACUGGUGAAGAGCUAUUCAGUGGCUAACCACCUACACCCACGACCUAGUAAAUCUCACUGACUCUACCUGGAAUGACUCUAUACACACUCAUAAGACUCUAUCAUCAUAUAGUGCAUUCGGAAAGUAUUGAGACCCCUUCACGUUUUUCACAUUUUGUUACGUUACAGCCUUAUUCUAAAAUUGAAUAAAUGUAAAAUGUUCCUCAUCAA
Long non-coding RNA from Oncorhynchus nerka (sockeye salmon), 1221 nucleotides. RefSeq lists it as uncharacterized. NCBI's taxonomy places the organism in Eukaryota, Metazoa, Chordata, Actinopteri, Salmoniformes, Salmonidae. The transcript is spliced from 3 exons. The record is from RefSeq and is a predicted model, not a curated record.